CCUACGGGUGGCAGCAGUGGGGAAUAUUGGACAAUGGGCGAAAGCCUGAUCCAGCCAUGCCGCGUGUGUGAAGAAGGCCUUCGGGUUGUAAAGCACUUUCAGUGGGGAAGAAAGCCUUGGGGCUAAUACCCUCGAGGAAGGACAUCACCCACAGAAGAAGCACCGGCUAACUCCGUGCCAGCAGCCGCGGUAAUACGGAGGGUGCGAGCGUUAAUCGGAAUUACUGGGCGUAAAGCGCGCGUAGGCGGUCUGAUAAGCCGGUUGUGAAAGCCCCGGGCUCAACCUGGGAACGGCAUCCGGAACUGUCAGGCUAGAGGGCAGGAGAGGAAGGUAGAAUUCCCGGUGUAGCGGUGAAAUGCGUAGAGAUCGGGAGGAAUACCAGUGGCGAAGGCGGCCUUCUGGACUGACACUGACGCUGAGGUGCGAAAGCGUGGGUAGCAAACAGGAUUAGAUACCCUAGAGUC
This 464-nucleotide ribosomal RNA is filed under the name Vreelandella stevensii. RNAcentral describes it as "partial 16S ribosomal RNA". It matches the Rfam family "Bacterial small subunit ribosomal RNA", at positions 338 to 795 of the family's 1533-position model. Lineage: Bacteria; Pseudomonadati; Pseudomonadota; Gammaproteobacteria; Oceanospirillales; Halomonadaceae. The record is from RNAcentral.